AAUAUCUAUUCUACACAGCCCUACUCCUAUCUGUACAGCAUCCUCGCAAACAUACAAUUGAUUCCUAUCUAAAAACUAUUUAACAAAACUUUACAAAGUUAUUAUUUCCUCUGGCCCACUUAAUUGAUCAUUUGCUGCAUUAUCUAAUGUCGGUUCUACAGAUUUUGGUUCUAAAUUCAAAUCUUUCUCCUCCUCCAAUCCAUCCGUCGAUUCCUUCCUCAAAUGGUUUGAAAGAUCUUCAUUAUAUCCUCCCAAUUCACGGACUUGAGCCUCUAGUUUUAAGAUCUGGACAUUACGGAGUUCCAAUUGAUGUUGCUACUGACUCAUCCAUUCUAGAACAUCUUCAAUUGAUGCUUGUGACCGGCUCUUCACUGUUAACUCUUAAAUAGAACUACUACUCUUGAAUACAUAAGAAAUACAAGAAAUGGCAAUCUCAAAAAAAACAAUCCAAAACGACACCACAGAAUGACCUCUAACUGGUGCCCCACUCCUAUUCUCUUAUUACUUGGUGAUAAUGACGACAUGUUAUCCAUACUGUCUAUUUCUCACCUC
RNAcentral lists this long non-coding RNA (552 nucleotides) under Physcomitrium patens. RNAcentral describes it as "long non-coding RNA (PPAT_LNC009120)". Lineage: Eukaryota; Viridiplantae; Streptophyta; Bryopsida; Funariales; Funariaceae. The record is from RNAcentral.